RNAcentral lists this ribosomal RNA (253 nucleotides) under uncultured bacterium. RNAcentral describes it as "partial 16S ribosomal RNA". It matches the Rfam family "Bacterial small subunit ribosomal RNA", at positions 524 to 776 of the family's 1533-position model. The record is from RNAcentral.
UACGUAGGGUGCGAGCGUUAAUCGGAAUUACUGGGCGUAAAGCGUGCGUAGGCGGUUCUCCAAGUCCGUUGUGAAAGCCCCGGGCUCAACCUGGGAAUGGCAGUGGAAACUAGGGGACUGGAAUCUGGCAGAGGGGGGUGGAAUGCCGCGUGUAGCAGUGAAAUGCGUAGAGAUGCGGCGGAACACCGAUGGUGAAGGCAGCCCCCUGGGCUGAGAUUGACGCUCAGGCACGAAAGCGUGGGGAGCAAACAGG